Molecule: long non-coding RNA, 1296 nt
Organism: Syzygium oleosum
Lineage: Eukaryota; Viridiplantae; Streptophyta; Magnoliopsida; Myrtales; Myrtaceae
Exons: 7
Source: RefSeq, a predicted model, not a curated record
GCGCGGAUUCCUUCCCACCGGGGGAAGAUGUAGCAGUGAAGCGACUGAAGGUUCGCCGAGUUCAUCACAAGCAUGUCGUGUCUUUGGUUGGAUAACAAACACCUUGGAGUUCCACUUUACAUGGUGGCGAGUUUGGAUUUUCAGCACCGAUAUUACUGGGAGCUUAUAUGAUCCACCACCCGUCCAGCCCCCCUCCCCCCUCUUUCUUUGGCUGCCUUUGCCAACCGCUCUGUCAAAAAAGCCUUUGACCUUCUAACUGCAAUCUUUUUGGGGAGUUUUUAAGAAAAUACGAUGUGGCACUUAGCCUAAGACAGAAAUGCCUCACUUCGUGUUACAGUCGCCGGCGAAAGGUUGUUUCGCCGGCGAGCUAGAUCUGGUGCUAAGUUCGACCGAACCCCACCAGCGACAGAGGAUGAGACAACACCAACGUUGAUGACAGCGGCAAGCGGCAGUGGGUGGCAGAUGUGGAGCUAGCGAUUAAAGGUGACGGGGUAGUGGCUGGGUGUAGAUAUCCUAUGUCGUCCACGAAUUAAAGUGGCCAUUGAAUAUGGUGCCCCCUUAGUUAUCAUCUACUCAGAGAAACUAAAUUAAAGACGCCGAUUUACCUCUAACUGGGAAGGAUCUAGAUCUCAAUCCAUAACGGAAAAGAUCUAAAUUUCAAACCAUAUUGCUUACGUCCACUGAUUUUGUAAAUAAGACUAUGUAGACCGUAUAUAGAGGCCUGCCAAUAUGGAAGAUCUAGACUUCAUGAGGAUUGCGAUCUAGACCUGUCUCGCCGGCCAAGGAGAGGGACGACCGACCUAGAUUGGCCAGCUAGGCUGAAAAUUACUUUGGGGUCUGCCAAAGGACUAGCAUAUCUUCAUGAGGAUUGUCAUCCUAAGAUCAUACAUCGCGAUAUCAAGGGAGCUAACUUACUUGUGGACUUCGAAUUUGAGGCAAACAUUCGAGGUUUGUACCGCCAAUUAUAUGCGCCAUCUUUGGGAGCUCAAAGCACAUAGCAAUCGGGACCGUGGCUGCAGCUUCAAUGCUUCUAGCUGCGACCAUUCAAGAGAAAGUGUCUGCGGACACUGACCCCAAAUUGUAUCUCCACUUGAUCUUCACAGCCACUCUCUUCACCGGAAUCUUCCAGUCAGUCUUAGGGUUCCUAAGACUGGGGAUUCAAUCGUCGGUAUCAUGAGUGGGACUGCCAUCAUGAUAUGGCAGCAACAGUUGAAGGGCAUCUUUGGACUGAUUCACUUCACCACCAAAACGGACAUGAUAUCUUUCUUGCAUGCCGUGUUCAAGAACUGAGACGAG